Molecule: non-coding RNA, 116 nt
Organism: Beta vulgaris subsp. vulgaris (sugar beet)
Lineage: Eukaryota; Viridiplantae; Streptophyta; Magnoliopsida; Caryophyllales; Amaranthaceae
Source: Rfam
AGCCAUGUAGUGAGCGCAGAGCGAACUAUUCUUUCGCCUUUUACUAAAGAAUACCGUGUGCUCGCUGCAUCUAGUGGCAUACGUUUAUAUUUGGAGGGAGUUCCUAUAGGACUUCC